GAUGAAGAACGUAGCGAAAUGCGAUAAGUAAUGUGAAUUGCAGAAUUCAGUGAAUCAUCGAAUCUUUGAACGCACAUUGCGCCCAGUAGUAUUCUAGUGGGCAUGCCUGUUCGAGCGUCAUUAAGUCCACUUAAGCCCUGCUUAGUGUUGGGAGACUGCUCCAGCGGUGCUACCCUGUAGCUACCCUGCAGCUCCUCAAAGACAGCGGCGGAGUUGUGGUAUCCUCUGAGCUUAGUAACUUGUUCUAGCUUUCGAGUACACCACUUCCCCUGCCGUAAAACCCUUAAUUUUUAAUGGUUGACCUCGGAUCAGGUAGGAAUACCCGCUGAACUUAAGCAUAUCAAUAAGCGGAGGA
Molecule: unclassified non-coding RNA, 355 nt
Filed under: soil metagenome
Description: partial contains 5.8S ribosomal RNA, internal transcribed spacer 2, and large subunit ribosomal RNA
Rfam family: 5.8S ribosomal RNA (bases 1-120)
Source: RNAcentral